Molecule: ribosomal RNA, 1159 nt
Filed under: uncultured bacterium
Lineage: Bacteria
Description: bacterial SSU rRNA
Rfam family: Bacterial small subunit ribosomal RNA
Source: RNAcentral
GUGAGCAACCUGCCCUCCACUUCGGGAUAAGCCUUGGAAACGGGGUCUAAUACCGGAUAUGAGCUCGCAUCGCAUGGUGUGGGUUGGAAAGUUUUUCGGUGGGGGAUGGGCUCGCGGCCUAUCAGCUUGUUGGUGGGGUGAUGGCCUACCAAGGCGUCGACGGGUAGCCGGCCUGAGAGGGCGACCGGCCACACUGGGACUGAGACACGGCCCAGACUCCUACGGGAGGCAGCAGUGGGGAAUAUUGCACAAUGGGCGCAAGCCUGAUGCAGCGACGCCGCGUGAGGGAUGACGGCCUUCGGGUUGUAAACCUCUUUCAGCAGGGAAGAAGCGCAAGUGACGGUACCUGCAGAAGAAGCGCCGGCUAACUACGUGCCAGCAGCCGCGGUAAUACGUAGGGCGCAAGCGUUGUCCGGAAUUAUUGGGCGUAAAGAGCUCGUAGGCGGUCUGUCGCGUCUGGUGUGAAAUCCCGAGGCUCAACCUCGGGCUUGCAUCGGGUACGGGCAGACUAGAGUGCGGUAGGGGAGACUGGAAUUCCUGGUGUAGCGGUGGAAUGCGCAGAUAUCAGGAGGAACACCGAUGGCGAAGGCAGGUCUCUGGGCCGCAACUGACGCUGAGGAGCGAAAGCAUGGGGAGCGAACAGGAUUAGAUACCCUGGUAGUCCAUGCCGUAAACGUUGGGCACUAGGUGUGGGGCUCAUUCCACGAGUUCCGUGCCGCAGCUAACGCAUUAAGUGCCCCGCCUGGGGAGUACGGCCGCAAGGCUAAAACUCAAAGGAAUUGACGGGGGCCCGCACAAGCGGCGGAGCAUGCGGAUUAAUUCGAUGCAACGCGAAGAACCUUACCAAGGCUUGACAUGUACGAGAAAGCCCCCGAGACGGGGUUCUCUUUGGACACUCGUACACAGGUGGUGCAUGGUUGUCGUCAGCUCGUGUCGUGAGAUGUUGGGUUAAGUCCCGCAACGAGCGCAACCCUCGUCCUAUGUUGCCAGCGGGUUAUGCCGGGGACUCAUGGGAGACUGCCGGGGUCAACUCGGAGGAAGGUGGGGAUGACGUCAAAUCAUCAUGCCCCUUAUGUCUUGGGCUUCACGCAUGCUACAAUGGCCGGUACAGAGGGCUGCGAUACCGUAAGGUGGAGCGAAUCCCAAAAAGCCGGUCUCA